This 1950-nucleotide ribosomal RNA is filed under the name human gut metagenome. Its description in RNAcentral is "bacterial LSU rRNA". It matches the Rfam family "Bacterial large subunit ribosomal RNA", at positions 977 to 2925 of the family's 2925-position model. The record is from RNAcentral.
ACGGGAGACAGAGCACCGGGUGCUAACGUCCGGACUCAAGAGGGAAACAACCCAGACCGCCGGCUAAGGUCCCUAAUAUUGACUAAGUGGAAAACGAAGUGGAAAGGCUAAGACAGUCAGGAAGUUGGCUUAGAAGCAGCCAUCCUUCAAAGAAAGCGUAAUAGCUCACUGAUCGAGUCUUUCUGCGCGGAAGAUGUAACGGGGCUAAGUCAAUAACCGAAGCCGCGGAUUCACACUUGUGUGUGAGUGGUAGGGGAGCGUUCUGUAAGCCUGCGAAGGUGACUCGUAAGGGUUGCUGGAGGUAUCAGAAGUGCGAAUGCUGACAUGAGUAACGUUAAAGCGGGUGAAAAGCCCGCUCGCCGUAAGCCCAAGGUUUCCUGCUCUACGUUCAUCGGAGCAGGGUGAGUCGGCCCCUAAGGUGAGGCUGAGAAGCGUAACUGAUGGGAACAAGGUUAAUAUUCCUUGACCACCGCUGAAUGCGAAGGGGGGACGGAGUAUUGAAGAUCAUCCGGGUGUUGGAUAUCCCGGUUUGCGAGCGUAGGAGGCUGACAGGCAAAUCCGUCAGCGAAUCUCCGAGGCAAAGCAUCGAGCUCUCUUUUGAGCGAAGUGAUUGGAUGUGCUUCCAGGAAAAGCCUCUAAGCUCCAGUUCAGCGGGACCGUACCGCAAACCGACACUGGUGGGCGAGCUGAAUAUGCUCAGGCGCUUGAGAGAACUCAGGAGAAGGAACUCGGCAAAUUGACACCGUAACUUCGGGAUAAGGUGUGCCUUUGUAGCGUGGAGGGAGAAACACCCCGAGCGCGAAGAGGUCUCAGAUAAUCGGUGGCUGCGACUGUUUAUUAAAAACACAGCACUCUGCAAAGACGAAAGUCGACGUAUAGGGUGUGAUGCCUGCCCGGUGCUGGAAGAUUAAUUGAUGGGGUGCAAGCUCCUGAUCGAAGUCCCAGUAAACGGCGGCCGUAACUAUAACGGUCCUAAGGGAGCGAAAUUCCUUGUCGGGCAAGUUCCGACCUGCACGAAUGGCAUAACGAUGGCCACACUGUCUCCUCCUGAGACUCAGUGAAGUUGAAGUGUUUGUGAUGAUGCAAUCUCCCCGCGGCUAGACGGAAAGACCCCAUGAACCUUUACUGUAGCUUUGCAUUGGACUUUGAACCGAUCUGUGUAGGAUAGGCGGGAGCCUGUGAAACCACAACGCCAGUUGUGGCGGAGGCGUCCUUGAAAUACCGCCCUGAUUUGUUUGAGGUUCUAACCUGGGACAGUUAUCCUGUCCGGGGACCGUGCAUGGUAGGCAGUUUGACUGGGGCGGUCUCCUCCUAAAGGGUAACGGAGGAGUGCGAAGGUACGCUAGGUACGGUCGGAAAUCGUGCUGAUAGUGCAAUGGCAAAAGCGUGCUUGACUGCGAGACCCACAAGUCGAGCAGAUACGAAAGUAGGUCAUAGUGAUCCGGUGGCUCUGUAUGGAAGGGCCAUCGCUCAACGGAUAAAAGGUACUCUGGGGAUAACAGGCUGAUACCGCCCAAGAGUUCAUAUCGACGGCGGUGUUUGGCACCUCGAUGUCGGCUCAUCUCAUCCUGGGGCUGUAGCCGGUCCCAAGGGUAUGGCUGUUCGCCAUUUAAAGAGGUACGUGAGCUGGGUUUAAAACGUCGUGAGACAGUUUUGUCCCUAUCUGCCGUGGGCGCUGGAAGAUUGACGGGGGCUGCUCCUAGUACGAGAGGACCGGAGUGGACUCACCUCUGGUGUACCGGUUGUCACGCCAGUGGCAUCGCCGGGUAGCUAUGUGGGGAAGAGAUAACCGCUGAAAGCAUCUAAGCGGGAAACUUGCCUGAAGAUAAGUCUUCCUGGAGGCUAGACCUCCCUAAAGAGUCGUUCGAGACCAGGACGUUGAUAGGAUGGGUGUGUAAGUGCUGUGAGGCACUCAGCUAACCAUUACUAAUUGCUCGUGAAGCUUGAUCC